RNAcentral lists this ribosomal RNA (766 nucleotides) under uncultured Glomeromycotina. RNAcentral's name for it is "SSU rRNA". It matches the Rfam family "Eukaryotic small subunit ribosomal RNA", at positions 333 to 1100 of the family's 1831-position model. The record is from RNAcentral. Lineage: Eukaryota; Fungi; Glomeromycota.
AUAGAGGCCUACCAUGGUGGUAACGGGUAACGGGGUGUUAGGGCACGACACCGGAGAGGGAGCCUGAGAAACGGCUACCACAUCCAAGGAUGGCAGCAGGCGCGCAAAUUACCCAAUCCCGACACGGGGAGGUAGUGACAAUAAAUAACAAUACGGGGUUCUUUAGGAUCUCGUAAUUGGAAUGAGUACAAUUUAAAUCUCUUAACGAGGAACAAUUGGAGGGCAAGUCUGGUGCCAGCAGCCGCGGUAAUUCCAGCUCCAAUAGCGUAUAUUAAAGUUGUUGCAGUUAAAAAGCUCGUAGUUGAAUUUCGGGGUUAGUAGGUUGGUCAUGCCUCUGGUAUGUACUGGUCUCACUGAUUCCUCCUUCCUGAUGAGCCGUAAUGCCAUUAAUUUGGUGUUGCGGGGAAUUUGGACUGUUACUUUGAAAAAAUUAGAGUGUUUAAAGCAAGCUAACGCUUGAAUACAUUAGCAUGGAAUAAUGAAAUAGGACGUUCGAUCCUAUUUUGUUGGUUUCUAGGAUUGACGUAAUGAUUAAUAGGGAUAGUUGGGGGCAUUAGUAUUCAAUUGUCAGAGGUGAAAUUCUUGGAUUUAUUGAAGACUAACUACUGCGAAAGCAUUUGCCAAGGAUGUUUUCAUUAAUCAAGGACGAAAGUUAGGGGAUCGAAGACGAUCAGAUACCGUCGUAGUCUUAACCAUAAACUAUGCCGACUAGGGAUCGGAUGAUGUUAAUUUUUUAAUGACUCAUUCGGCGCCUUACGGGAAACCA